Balaenoptera musculus (blue whale) is the source of this 644-nucleotide long non-coding RNA. RefSeq lists it as uncharacterized. Lineage: Eukaryota; Metazoa; Chordata; Mammalia; Artiodactyla; Balaenopteridae. The record is from RefSeq and is a predicted model, not a curated record. The transcript has 4 exons.
GUUUUGGUCUUUCGUGUCGGAAGCAUUCCUCAAAUGCCCAACUGAAAGUUUUGUGGAAAGUUUGGGGCCCUGUCAGCUGGUGGGCUGCAUUGUAGGGUGAUCAGACAGCGAAGGCAAACCAGUUCUGAGAACAUCAGAGACUUCACUGGCCAACUCCGGAGGCACCAAAUCUAACUGUGACCCAGAUUUGACCUUGGAGCUGACCAGGAGGCAUCAAGUUGAAGCCAGGUUUACACUCUCAUUCCUCCAACUACCUCGAGUGGUUUUUUUCAAGAGGAGUCUGGGUAGGAAUGAGCUAAGGCCACGUUCCUGCAUUUAAGGACGUUUUUGGGACUGCAGAAGGAGGAGCACUUUGAUCUCUUCCUGAAGAGUUUCCACAGGACCCAGCAAGGCUCCUUUCACCCAGGAUGCCGGCCUUGGACAGUCGGGCUUUCUCUCCAGAAGCUAAAAUCCCCACCAAAUGCAAGCAUUUAACUACUUGAUGACCAUGAGCACGUAGCCCCCAGGCCUGCUGGAGCCUGACGAUUGAUCAUGUUAACCCCUGUGACACCGUCCUGCUAACCACCAUCAACCAGAGACUUGUGCACAGCUGAUCACACACCCUGCGAGCCCCCUCCCUCACCUGGCCUCUAAAAAUGCUUUGC